Molecule: small RNA, 117 nt
Filed under: Pongo abelii (Sumatran orangutan)
Lineage: Eukaryota; Metazoa; Chordata; Mammalia; Primates; Hominidae
Description: Metazoan signal recognition particle RNA (ENSPPYG00000035348.1)
Source: Rfam by way of RNAcentral
GCCGGGUAUGGUGGCUCACGCCUGUAAUCCCAGCACUUUGGGAGGCUGAGGCAGGAGGAUCACCUGAGGUCAGGAGUUCAAGACCAGCCUGGCCAACAUGGUGAAACCCUGUCUCUA